Long non-coding RNA from Lepidothrix coronata (blue-crowned manakin), 1866 nucleotides. RefSeq lists it as uncharacterized. The record is from RefSeq and is a predicted model, not a curated record. NCBI's taxonomy places the organism in Eukaryota, Metazoa, Chordata, Aves, Passeriformes, Pipridae. The transcript has 5 exons.
UUUCAAUGCGGUCCUCCCUGUUUUCCAUCUGUGUUGCACGUUACUCUUGGGGGUCCUCGUUUUCUUUUGGGAGAAGAAGGUGUCUGUGUUGGACCCGGAGCGCAUCCCGGUCUGUUGUGUGAUGCCAUUCCCAGCCAGCCAGCCCCGCGCCCUCGGUGGAGAUGACGGCAGUGUUUGAAGGCGAUGUUUUUCCCCGGGACUGCGUGGCUGGCGAGAUGGUAACGCCGAGGCGGGGAGCAGCUUCACAGCUCGCUGCCCUCACCGCAGCCACCGCCUGAGCAGCGCUGUGCCACAGCCGUGCCACAGCCAGGCGUUCUCCCCGUGCCCGUGCUUCGCUGCCCGGCGUGGGGAGCGGCACUCCCACUCCCGGGGGCUCCUCGGGGACCCACCGCCUGCCGGCUUCCCUGCGCCAUCCUCCGGGGCGGCCUGUCCCCCCGUGCACGUGCCUGGGAAAGUGCCAAGAUUACAGUCAAAAGGGUCACCAAUGAAGAUUUGUUCAUGCAGCUAAGCAAACUGUUCAUGGAGAAAGCUCUAAACGAAACAGGGAAUGAAUACCACGUAACCAGACAGCCGUAAACCUUCUGCUGCAGACCACUGAUAGGAGUCUAUAGACCACCAGUUUGGGAAACCUCUGCUUUACACUUCUAAAUGAUUCGACAUUUGUUCCCUCUGAUGACACCACGAAUCUGGGAAUGAAGAACUUCUUAGAGCUGAUUGGAAAUGGCAUUACGGAGCUGAAACUUAACUGGAGGAAAUAUAUCUCCUGAAGAAGAAAAUAUAAUGCACUAUAAGGAUCUGACUUCUGGUGAAAAAUUCAAGCCUAGAGAAAACUUGUCCGCUUUGUUAGGAAGAAUGGGUUGGACAAUUUUCUUCAGUUCCAAAGGAUAUCUGAAUGCCAUGCUGAGCUUAAUCUCUGCAGCAUGCUCUGUGCUUCUCAUCUCUUCCUGAUGCACUGCAUGGUUAUCCUGAAGGGGACGAUAAAGAAACUGGCCACCAAGAUGGUAAUCACUAGUGGAAAUGAAGAAGAUAAAGGCAGUCAAGAAAAGGAAAGCAAAGAAGAAACCAUCUUGGCAAUGCUUGGAAUUAUUGGGACAAUUCUGAACCUCAUUGUGAUCAUUUUUGUGUAUAUUUACACAACGUUGUAAACUAGAAGGCAUGCAAAUAGACCAGAUAAAAUGGCCAUUAAGAAUGACAACAAACAUUGCUGACUAUUGAGAAGUUCUUUAAUCAGAAUUGACUCUGUAUUAUAUUAACACAUCAUAAAAGCACUGCCUGCAGGCAGCGAAGACUGAAGCACAAUUAAUUUAACAAGACUUUUUCACACAGUAAUAAGCUUAACUCUUCUAUCCUGCCCUCUCCCUUUCGGUUUGGUUUUCAGUUUGGGGGAGAAUGACUGCAGUUAUGUAAGCUGUAGCUUUGAAGAAAUCCACCAGGGAUAUGUUGUUUUAACACAAUUUAAAAAAAAAAAAAAAAGAAAAGAAAAAAUAGAAAGAAAAAAAAGAAAAUAAAGAAACUGUACACUAUAUAUAAUUAGAAAUGUUUGCUGUAUACCCGCAAAGACUGAACUCAGAGAUAGCUUCAUAGCACAGAUCACAUGUCUGUUAGGUCAAAUGGUUUUUUUCUCUUGGUUUUUGCUUUUACUUACAUUGAAUCUGACAAGCCUUUUAUUUAGAAUGAACAUAUGGUGCAAUCAUGAAAAAAACAAUUCCAUUGAGCAAGGUCUGCCUAAACCUGAUAAAAUGUUGGGAGAAAUACAUUACAUGGUUAUUUUUCCUUUCUCUUUUGCUUAACAUCUGUGUCUGUUCAUACCAAUGUUUAUAAAUAUAUAUUUUUAAUAAAUGUGCUAUAUUUUUAGCAUGAACCAAA